RNAcentral lists this ribosomal RNA (253 nucleotides) under uncultured prokaryote. RNAcentral describes it as "partial 16S ribosomal RNA". It matches the Rfam family "Bacterial small subunit ribosomal RNA", at positions 524 to 776 of the family's 1533-position model. The record is from RNAcentral.
UACAGAGGUCCCGAGCGUUGUUCGGAUUCACUGGGCGUAAAGGGUGCGCAGGUGGGUUGGUAAGUUUGAUGUGAAAGCCCCGGGCUUAACCCGGGAAUGGCAUUGAAUACUACUGAUCUGGAGGAUUGGAGGGGGGACUGGAAUUCUUGGUGUAGCAGUGAAAUGCGUAGAUAUCAAGAGGAACACCAGUGGCGAAGGCGAGUCCCUGGACAAUACCUGACACUGAGGCACGAAAGCUAGGGGAGCAAACAGG